Long non-coding RNA from Conger conger (European conger), 371 nucleotides. RefSeq lists it as uncharacterized. The transcript is spliced from 3 exons. The record is from RefSeq and is a predicted model, not a curated record. NCBI's taxonomy places the organism in Eukaryota, Metazoa, Chordata, Actinopteri, Anguilliformes, Congridae.
CAUGUGGAGGUCCAGAUGUUGUAAGCAUUUUCUUCUUUUUAGGUUUGGAAGAGGGGAGUAAAGACGAGAACAGUACUGAAUAAAAGCUGUUGUUGGACCUUUUCAGCAUUUUCCUUGACAAGAACUACAUCGACGAGGGAUGGACAGCAGGACACCAGAGUUCAUUGGAGCAGGCGGACAGCUUCCUGGAAUAGGAAUUCCUGAAUACAAUACCACCAUUUUUAACAACAGACCAUUUAAUUCGUUUAAGCACCAAGCCAAUCAACAUGGAGACUAAGAACGCCAUUUAAGAAAGACUAUACUGCCCUCUUACAUGCCCUCGCACAUUAAUGGAGGACGCAAAGGAGGAAGAGGAGCCAAUGAAAGAAGAA